ACAACACAGGAGGCGCAUUCAGUCACAGGAGCCCAGUCAACCUGGUGGUGGCCUCUGGUAGGGAGCCACUUUAGGAUUUCAAUCAGAAUGAUCGAGACAUGCUGCCAAGAAGCAGGAUAAAAAGCAACACGCCUCGGCUGUAAAUGAGCCGUCUGCCGCGGCCCUUAAACACCGGCAGGAUCCGGGGAAAGCCACCAGUCAGCGAGCCGGCCUGGUUCCGAUCUCCAAAAAACUGUUGGGACAACAGCCGACAGAGCCGAGGGCAGAAAACAGAAGAUCAGCUGCUGCAUCCAGUGUAGCUGUAAGAAAACAUAAACAUCUGCUGUGCAGCUCUCCUCACCACCAGUGUCAGGAUCCUGGUAGUUU
Molecule: non-coding RNA, 366 nt
Organism: Poecilia reticulata (guppy)
Lineage: Eukaryota; Metazoa; Chordata; Actinopteri; Cyprinodontiformes; Poeciliidae
Source: RefSeq, a predicted model, not a curated record